RNAcentral lists this ribosomal RNA (428 nucleotides) under uncultured bacterium. Its description in RNAcentral is "bacterial SSU rRNA". It matches the Rfam family "Bacterial small subunit ribosomal RNA", at positions 355 to 775 of the family's 1533-position model. The record is from RNAcentral.
UCGAGAAUUUUUCGCAAUGGGGGCAACCCUGACGGAGCGACGCCGCGUGGAGGAUGAAGGUCUUCGGAUUGUAAACUCCUGUCAUUGGUGAACAAAGUACUGAGGUUAACUGCCUUGGUGCCUGCUAGUAGCCGAAGAGGAAGGGACGGCUAACUCUGUGCCAGCAGCCGCGGUAAUACAGAGGUCCCGAGCGUUGUUCGGAUUCAUUGGGCGUAAAGGGUGCGUAGGCGGCGGGGUAAGUUUGAUGUGAAAUUCCGGGGCUCAACCCUGGCAUGGCAUUGAAUACUACCUUGCUAGAGUACCGGAGAGGAAACUGGAAUUUACGGUGUAGCAGUGAAAUGCGUAGAGAUCGUAAGGAAGACCAGUGGCGAAGGCGAGUUUCUGGACGGUAACUGACGCUGAGGCACGAAGGCCAGGGGAGCAAACGG